This is a long non-coding RNA of Orbicella faveolata, 1750 nucleotides long. The record is from RefSeq and is a predicted model, not a curated record. NCBI's taxonomy places the organism in Eukaryota, Metazoa, Cnidaria, Anthozoa, Scleractinia, Merulinidae.
GCGGUUGCUUAUCUAUUUAGUCCUGGUAUCCAGUAAUAUUUCUAAAUCUUCCUCGAAUCAUUUAAGAAACUAGAAAACGUUUCCGUUAUGCGCGUCGACGAUUUGGUUCAGUGUAUUAAAAACGCAGACUGCGAGAGAGCAGACCGUGUCGACUACCCCUAUAGCGAUUAUUAGUUUUACGUAUUUGCCUUUCCUUAAAUCUGAUCAUAAGUCUGUUUGCUAGCCUGUUGGAGACAUUCUUUUUGCCCGGGAGCUGUGCUUAGAAAUUGCCAUACUCCGUAAAUCGCACGCGCUGCUCUUGACCGCUAGGCCUGUAAUGGUUUACCUCACGUGACCAAGGCCUGGUCACCAAACAUCCAAUAUGGCGGCUCGGUGAAGUCUGCAAAAAUUAUUUUUGCACAUCUCUUAUUCUUAAACCAUCCAAGCCUCGAUUCCUAACGUGGUGAUUUUAAAUUUGUCCUGAAAAUCUUCGAGGACUCUUCGAGCGAUCUGGAUGUUGACUAGUUCCUGUCAACCGUCUUCCCAUCGAGAAGGGACGAAAAUGUCGCCACUCCGAGGAGAAACAGAACGACGUUCACUGGAUGUUGAAUUGUAUUGUAUCGUCCCUGGAGCAGGGAUCCUCUAAAGAACUUCUGGUUGAGUUCACGCCUGAGUCCUAUAUGGAGGCCGCUAUCAAUGCGUUUCACGGGCUCAGGCACUACUUCCAUCCUACGACAAAUUUCGACGAUAUUCCAGGUACAAUUUCUUGUUUGUGAGAGUGUUUUUCUGUUAAUCUUAUUAUUAUUAUUAUUAAUCUUGUAAGCGAGUGCUUUUACUGGUUAUAAUCUUGUGUUCAAGACGUUGCAUAGAGAAAAAUUAUACUAUAACAGUUAUAACACAAGUCUUAUUCGAAUUGACUCGGAAAGUUCAAAGAGCUUUAGAAGCGCUCUAUGCGAGAACUAUUAACGAUGCAAAAUUGCUGAGCGGCAAAAACUUCGAGUUUUUAAACCCUCAUAGUUUGUUGUAGCAGGCAUUUAUCGGAAACUUUUCAUAGAUUAGUAUUAUGUGGAAGCUGAUUGGUUGCAGCGAACGGUUGGUUGAAUUUUUUAAAGAAAUAAGUGAAAAGCUAGCUCGGCCAGCGUAACCCAGGGAAGAGUUGUGUCGGGUACCCGAAACCACAUAAAAGGGCCUUUAGUUGCUAUGACCAAGACCAAACGCUGGUAAAGUCACUUUCCAAAUUUAAUUACCUUUAAUAACUGCAAGGAGCUGAAUUCUACCUCUUUAGCACGGUCAAAGAAAAAAAGCUCGGUCCGUAAAACCCUACAUAUUUCUGUAAUCCGUCGAAACAAAUCUUUUAUAUAGAUAUGCGUAUUAAUUAAUGUUUAUUUUUCUUGCAAUGUAUAAUUUUCUGAAUUUAAUUUAUGUCUUAUUACUGGACACCACGUUUUGUUGCUAUAUUGCCACGUUUUAUUGCCAUACGAAUACCUUUGGUUCAAGUUCAAGUUCAAAGUUCAUUUCAAAGUUACCACUUCACACACGAGGGGACAAAUUCCUGGGACAAUUCGGCAGGUUCAAGUCCCUUCGUGUGAACUAGCCAUUUUUGUCAGAAAUCUAGCCAUAGGGACCAAAAUUUAGUCCUCGUCACUUGUCCCACGAAUUCAAACUGGCGUGAGCUGUUCGUGUGAAUUUUUCGUGUAAACUGUUCGUGGAAAAAGUAAAAUUCGAGUUUUACGACUUUGUAUCAUAAAGUAACCAUCUGUAUCCGUAUUUG